UCAAAGGAAAAAUAAGAAUAGACUACACGUUCAGAAAAAUAAAGAAAAAAUGGAACAGCAAUGAAAAAAUACUGAGGAAAAGUAUCUGGAAAUGAGUGAGUGAGUGUUUGGAUGUGAGUGACGAGCAACACAGGGCGGUGGCUGGGCGAGUGUUGCAGGGGGUGGCUCUCAACACUGCAGUGGAAGGCGAGGGGCUGCUUUAUCAUUAUGGAGGGCUGGCGGGAGGCAGGAGGCGCCUUUGCAUUAUAUACAAGAUCAUGGGGUGAGAAAACUGUGGAGCAAAUACAGUAGUAGUAAUAAUAGUAGUAAUAGCAGCAAUACUAGUAGUGGUGGUGGUGGUGGUAUUGAUAGUCGUUUUAUAUUUGUAGUAGUAACAGCAGAAAAAAAAUGAACAAAAGCAAUAAUAAUAAUAAUAAUAAUAAUAAUAAUAAUAAUAAUAUAAGGUGCGUGAUGGAUGUCUCGGUGUUCUAUUUUCUAUAUAAUUUCUACAAGAGUGUAUUUCUAAUCUGCAGUAAGAAAUAUACUGGUGCGUGAGAGAGAGAGAGAGAGAGAGAGAGAGAGAGAGAGAGAGAGAGAGAGAGAGAGAGAGAGAGAGAGAGAGAGAGAGA
Molecule: long non-coding RNA, 608 nt
Organism: Portunus trituberculatus (swimming crab)
Lineage: Eukaryota; Metazoa; Arthropoda; Malacostraca; Decapoda; Portunidae
Exons: 2
Source: RefSeq, a predicted model, not a curated record